Dipodomys ordii (Ord's kangaroo rat) is the source of this 65-nucleotide non-coding RNA. The record is from Rfam. NCBI's taxonomy places the organism in Eukaryota, Metazoa, Chordata, Mammalia, Rodentia, Heteromyidae.
GGUGGCUCAGUAGUAGAGUGCUUGCCUUGCAUGCAUGAAGCCCUGGGUUCGAUUCCUCAGCACCA